GAACGACAACGACUUCAACAAAUAAUCUGAAUAAGCUAUCCAUUUACGGCGAUUUUUACGUGUUGAAUUUCUCUUUGUAUUUUCUACCUUGUACGCUCAUCUUUUUAUUUUAAAUCAAACAGUUCUACCAGGGUUCCUCCUAGGCGUUAGCAGUAUGUAAAAAAACUUCCACAAUGUCUUUUUCACCAAAACAUGACGCGUUCGUCUUAAAGGAACAUUAUCGAAGUGCAAGUCUACAGGAUGGAACAUGGACGUAUUCCAUUUAGUCCUGUCGCCAGCAAUUCUAUCAAGAAUUUCCUGAUAUCCAACGUUUUCUUACAAGAAAUCGUCUGCACAUCACUGAGGAACUUCAAAAUGCAAUCGAAGAGGAACUAAUGAACA
Molecule: long non-coding RNA, 381 nt
Organism: Photinus pyralis (common eastern firefly)
Lineage: Eukaryota; Metazoa; Arthropoda; Insecta; Coleoptera; Lampyridae
Exons: 3
Source: RefSeq, a predicted model, not a curated record